CCUGCAAGCUAGGGGUGUCCGACUCGCAUCGGACUGAGAUCAUACCCUCAGAACCUGACCUGGUUAAUACCAGCGGAGGAAAGCGUUGCUUGAGGUUA
Molecule: non-coding RNA, 98 nt
Filed under: Phormidium tenue
Lineage: Bacteria; Bacillati; Cyanobacteriota; Cyanophyceae; Oscillatoriales; Oscillatoriaceae
Also listed under: 1 other name
Description: TPP sequence
Rfam family: TPP riboswitch aptamer (THI element)
About the family: Vitamin B(1) in its active form thiamin pyrophosphate (TPP) is an essential coenzyme that is synthesised by coupling of pyrimidine and thiazole moieties in bacteria.
Source: RNAcentral